Long non-coding RNA from Syngnathoides biaculeatus (alligator pipefish), 575 nucleotides. RefSeq lists it as uncharacterized. The record is from RefSeq and is a predicted model, not a curated record. The transcript is spliced from 6 exons. NCBI's taxonomy places the organism in Eukaryota, Metazoa, Chordata, Actinopteri, Syngnathiformes, Syngnathidae.
CGGGCUCUCCGUCGUGUCCCCUCCUGGCCGCCAGGAGGCGAUGACGUACAGCGGGCUAUAUAUACAAUCGAUCGGAAGCCUUCGUGGACAUUCGUUUCCUGUAUCCCGAGACCCGGACUCCGGCACCCCGAAAUGACGUUUCCACCAGAGGUCCCACGACCAAAGAUGGCCAAACUCUUCCAUGGAUGUCUGAGGGAGCCACUGAAAUGUGACUUUUCAAGUUUUACACUUGAAACUGGCAUCUUGCAUCCUGAGCCGGUUUGGUGAAUUUCCUGCGGCAUCCCGAGCCAGUUUGGUGAAUUUCCUGUGGCAUUGUGUGAGAAAGCAUCCCAAACCAGUUUGGUGAAUUUCCUGCGGCAUCCUGAGCCAGUUUGGUGGCCUUCCCUUGCCAAGAGCAACCUGAGCCAAUCGUGGCCGGCAAUUUGAACACCGCCUCUGUCGUCGUGAUGACGAUUCCUGCAGCUCGUCGUUCCCAGCAGGGGCGACUUCGUACCUCCUUGAAUGUCUGAGCGACAACUUUUGGGUGCUGAUACCUGGGGGUUUUUUUUUUUUUUUUUUUUUUUUUUCCUCCUCCA